This 534-nucleotide ribosomal RNA is filed under the name Sphingonotus tsinlingensis. Its description in RNAcentral is "16S ribosomal RNA". It matches the Rfam family "Archaeal large subunit ribosomal RNA", at positions 1900 to 2684 of the family's 2987-position model. Lineage: Eukaryota; Metazoa; Arthropoda; Insecta; Orthoptera; Acrididae. The record is from RNAcentral.
CAAAAACAUGUCUUCUUGAUAAUAUUUUGAAGUCUGACCUGCUCACUGAAUAAUUUUAAAGAGCCGCGGUAUUUUGACCGUGCAAAGGUAGCAUAAUCAUUAGUUUCUUAAUUAGAGGCUUGAAUGAAUGGUUUGACGAGAAAUUAACUGUCUCUUAAUAAAUUUUAGAAUUUAACUUUUGAGUUAAAAGGCUUAAAUAUUUCUUUAGGACGAGAAGACCCUAUAGAGCUUAAUAUUUAUAAAUUUUAUGUAUUUUUAGUUUAUUUUUUUAUAAAGAUUUUUUAAUAUUUGGUUGGGGUGACAUGAAGAAUAAUUAAACUCUUCAUUAUAAAAUCAUUGAUUUAUGUUUAUUUGAUCCAUAAUUUGUGAGCAAAAGAUUAAGUUACCUUAGGGAUAACAGCGUAAUCAUUUUUGAGAGUUCAUAUCGACAAAAUGGAUUGCGACCUCGAUGUUGGAUUAAGAUUAAUUUUAGGUGUAGUAGCUUAAUAAUUAGGUCUGUUCGACCUUUAAAUUCUUACGUGAUCUGAGUUCAAC